GACGAACGCUGGCGGCGUGCUUAACACAUGCAAGUCGAACGGAAAGGCCCUGCUUUUGUGGGGUGCUCGAGUGGCGAACGGGUGAGUAACACGUGAGUAACCUGCCCUUGACUUUGGGAUAACUUCAGGAAACUGGGGCUAAUACCGGAUAGGAGCUCCUGCUGCAUGGUGGGGGUUGGAAAGUUUCGGCGGUUGGGGAUGGACUCGCGGCUUAUCAGCUUGUUGGUGGGGUAGUGGCUUACCAAGGCUUUGACGGGUAGCCGGCCUGAGAGGGUGACCGGCCACAUUGGGACUGAGAUACGGCCCAGACUCCUACGGGAGGCAGCAGUGGGGAAUAUUGCACAAUGGGCGGAAGCCUGAUGCAGCAACGCCGCGUGCGGGAUGUCGGCCUUCGGGUUGUAUACCGCUUUCGCCUGUGACGAAGCGUGAGUGACGGUAAUGGGUAAAGAAGCACCGGCUAACUACGUG
This 468-nucleotide ribosomal RNA is filed under the name uncultured bacterium. Its description in RNAcentral is "partial 16S ribosomal RNA". It matches the Rfam family "Bacterial small subunit ribosomal RNA", at positions 28 to 507 of the family's 1533-position model. The record is from RNAcentral.